RNAcentral lists this ribosomal RNA (434 nucleotides) under uncultured Lachnospiraceae bacterium. RNAcentral describes it as "partial 16S ribosomal RNA". It matches the Rfam family "Bacterial small subunit ribosomal RNA", at positions 341 to 792 of the family's 1533-position model. Lineage: Bacteria; Bacillati; Bacillota; Clostridia; Lachnospirales; Lachnospiraceae. The record is from RNAcentral.
ACGGAAGGCAGCAGUGGGGAAUAUUGCACAAUGGGGGAAACCCUGAUGCAGCGACGCCGCGUGAGCGAUGAAGUAUUUCGGUAUGUAAAGCUCUAUCAGCAGGGAAGAAAAUGACGGUACCUGACUAAGAAGCUCCGGCUAAAUACGUGCCAGCAGCCGCGGUAAUACGUAUGGAGCAAGCGUUAUCCGGAUUUACUGGGUGUAAAGGGAGCGUAGGCGGCGUGCUAAGUCUGAUGUGAAACUCCGGGGCUCAACCCCGGAACUGCAUUGGAAACUGGCAUGCUAGAGUGUCGGAGGGGUAAGCGGAAUUCCUAGUGUAGCGGUGAAAUGCGUAGAUAUUAGGAGGAACACCGGUGGCGAAGGCGGCUUACUGGACGAUAACUGACGCUGAGGCUCGAAAGCGUGGGGAGCAAACAGGAUUAGAUACCCUGGUA